AAUAUUGGGCAAUGGGCGCGAGCCUGACCCACCAACGCCGCGUGAGGGAAGAAGGCUUUCGGGUUGUAAACCUCUGUCCUUGGUGACAAAAAAAAUGACGG
Molecule: ribosomal RNA, 101 nt
Filed under: uncultured bacterium
Lineage: Bacteria
Description: partial 16S ribosomal RNA
Rfam family: Bacterial small subunit ribosomal RNA
Source: RNAcentral